GACGAACGCUGGCGGCGUGCUUAACACAUGCAAGUCGAACGGAAAGGCCCUGCUUUUGUGGGGUGCUCGAGUGGCGAACGGGUGAGUAACACGUGAGUAACCUGCCCUUGACUUUGGGAUAACUUCAGGAAACUGGGGCUAAUACCGGAUAGGAGCUCCUGCAGCAUGGUGGUGGUUGGAAAGUUUCGGCGGUGGGGGAUGGACUAGCGGCUUAUCAGCUUGUUGGUGGGGUUGGGGAGUACACGGGCUUUGACGGGUAGCCGGCCUGGGAGGGUGACCGGCCACAUUGGGACUGCGAGACGGCCCAGACUCCUACGGUAGGCAGAAGUGGGGAAUCUUGCACAAUGGGCGGAAGCCUGAUGCAGCAACGCCGCGUGCGUGAUGACGGCCUUCGGGUUGUAAACCGCUUUCGCCUGUGACGAAGCGUGAGUGACGGUAAUGGGUAAAGAAGCACCGGCUAACUACGUG
Molecule: ribosomal RNA, 468 nt
Filed under: uncultured bacterium
Lineage: Bacteria
Description: partial 16S ribosomal RNA
Rfam family: Bacterial small subunit ribosomal RNA
Source: RNAcentral